GUCAGACACAUUCCAGCCAAUCAGCAGCAGACCCUCCCUCCCAGACCCUCCCACCUCCUGGACAGCAUCCAUUUUACAUUCAUUGUGAAGCUGCAUUCUUAGUGAGCUGUCCAGGAGGUGGGAGGGUCUGGGAGGGAGGGUUUGCUGCUGAUUGGCUGGAAUGUUUCUG
Non-coding RNA from Pelobates cultripes (western spadefoot toad), 169 nucleotides. The record is from the annotation of a GenBank genome assembly. NCBI's taxonomy places the organism in Eukaryota, Metazoa, Chordata, Amphibia, Anura, Pelobatidae.